CAGCAGCCGCGGUAAUACGAAGGGGGCUAGCGUUGCUCGGAAUCACUGGGCGUAAAGGGUGCGUAGGCGGGUCUUUAAGUCAGGGGUGAAAUCCUGGAGCUCAACUCCAGAACUGCCUUUGAUACUGAAGAUCUUGAGUUCGGGAGAGGUGAGUGGAACUGCGAGUGUAGAGGUGAAAUUCGUAGAUAUUCGCAAGAACACCAGUGGCGAAGGCGGCUCACUGGCCCGAUACUGACGCUGAGGCACGAAAGCGUGGGGAGCAAACAGGAUUAGAUACCCCAGUAGUCCCUGUCUCUUAACA
This 301-nucleotide ribosomal RNA is filed under the name uncultured bacterium. RNAcentral describes it as "partial 16S ribosomal RNA". It matches the Rfam family "Bacterial small subunit ribosomal RNA", at positions 509 to 808 of the family's 1533-position model. The record is from RNAcentral.